This 438-nucleotide long non-coding RNA is filed under the name Falco tinnunculus (common kestrel). RNAcentral describes it as "lncRNA (ENSFTIG00000012253.1)". Lineage: Eukaryota; Metazoa; Chordata; Aves; Falconiformes; Falconidae. The record is from RNAcentral.
GGAGAAAACACAAUUAGCGGACUAAGGAAAUGAAUGUAGGUUAUGAGGCUUAUUCUGCCUGUAAUGGAUAUAAAUGUACUCUAAAACUUCAGUUACUGUUAUGGAUCAUGGACAACCGAGCAAAUUAUAUAUUAAACUAAUCGCAGAUGAUGCUACUGAUCGGCAGAGGUCUGCACGGCCUUCCAGAGAGUACAGAUUUCUGCGGAGAAUUGGCCCAUGGUAUGUGCUGUACACGUGCUACUAUACUGACAGCUGGGGAUGUGUCAGAGAAGGUAGAAAGAGAGAGAAGUUUCUCAGAAGACGCGGCACUAUUGGAAAGUCUAAUGGAUCCAGAGGAUGUAAUUCCCACAGGAUAUAUUAAUAACAUUGCUACUGUGACCACGGCACCCAUUAUCUCUGCAUCAUUUUCCUGGACCUAAAAAGAAAGGUGUGAAGGGA